UACGUAGGGUGCAAGCGUUGUCCGGAAUUAUUGGGCGUAAAGAGCUCGUAGGCGGUUUGUCGCGUCUGCUGUGAAAUCCCGAGGCUCAACCUCGGGCCUGCAGUGGGUACGGGCAAACUAGAGUGCGGUAGGGGAGACUGGAAUUCCUGGUGUAGCGGUGAAAUGCGCAGAUAUCAGGAGGAACACCGGUGGCGAAGGCGGGUCUCGUGGGCCGAUGACUGACGCUGAGGAGCGAAAGCGUGGGGAGCGAACAGG
RNAcentral lists this ribosomal RNA (255 nucleotides) under uncultured bacterium. RNAcentral's name for it is "partial 16S ribosomal RNA". It matches the Rfam family "Bacterial small subunit ribosomal RNA", at positions 524 to 776 of the family's 1533-position model. The record is from RNAcentral.